GUAGGUGGCAAGCGUUGUCCGGAAUUAUUGGGCGUAAAGCGCGCGCAGGCGGUCCUUUAAGUCUGAUGUGAAAGCCCACGGCUCAACCGUGGAGGGUCAUUGGAAACUGGGGGACUUGAGUACAGAAGAGGAAAGCGGAAUUCCAAGUGUAGCGGUGAAAUGCGUAGAGAUUUGGAGGAACACCAGUGGCGAAGGCGGCUUUCUGGUCUGUAACUGACGCUGAGGCGCGAAAGCGUGGGGAGCAAACAGGGAUUAGAUACCCUGGUAGUCCACGCCGUAAACGAUGAGUGCUAAGUGUUAGGGGGUUUCCCGCCCCUUAGUGCUGCAGCUAACGCAUUAAGCACUCCGCCUGGGGAGUAUGGCCGCAAGGCUG
RNAcentral lists this ribosomal RNA (373 nucleotides) under uncultured organism. Its description in RNAcentral is "partial 16S ribosomal RNA". It matches the Rfam family "Bacterial small subunit ribosomal RNA", at positions 527 to 896 of the family's 1533-position model. The record is from RNAcentral.